AGCCCGGGAAAGGAAGAGGUGGAGUCGGGCAGGCGGUUCCUGGUGUAGAUAGCGGCGCCAAAGGAGAGGGGGCGGAGGAGGCAGGCAGGCACGAAGACUACAGGUCCCAUCAUGCGUUUUUUGUGCGGCGGCGCAAUACUGCUCCGCCGACUCAUUUUUGGAACUACUCAGCCAUUAAUGUAGCAACAGUGUUAACACUUUUAUUGUUACACUGGCGAGAAACAAGAAAAACCCUUCAAGCAAAGACUUCAACAAACAUUAUGGUUCGCUGAAAACGAUCCUCUUCUUCAAAAUCAUGAAGGACAAUCUGAUGGUUGUACGACUCUCUUCCUAUUAUCCACUCAAAACCCUGAGAUCAUUUGAGACUGUGGCUAAAUUUCUGUGCUGUGCUUCUAAGAGGAGAAGAAUGUUUCAAAUGCUGGUGUAAUGGAUCUUUUCCUGCUUGCUGAUUGCGCAUGUUUAUGUUGUUAUGCCAAUAAAGGUUGUUAUUGUUGUUGA
Heteronotia binoei (common prickly gecko) is the source of this 498-nucleotide long non-coding RNA. RefSeq lists it as uncharacterized. The transcript has 3 exons. The record is from RefSeq and is a predicted model, not a curated record. NCBI's taxonomy places the organism in Eukaryota, Metazoa, Chordata, Lepidosauria, Squamata, Gekkonidae.